GCGGGAAUAGUUCAGUGGUAGAGUUCUGGCCUUCCAAGCCAGCUGUGAGGGUUCGAUCCCCUUCACCCGCUCCA
RNAcentral lists this transfer RNA (74 nucleotides) under Clostridioides difficile. Its description in RNAcentral is "tRNA-Gly". It matches the Rfam family "tRNA". Rfam says of the family: Transfer RNA (tRNA) molecules are approximately 80 nucleotides in length. The record is from RNAcentral. Lineage: Bacteria; Bacillati; Bacillota; Clostridia; Peptostreptococcales; Peptostreptococcaceae.